This 856-nucleotide long non-coding RNA is filed under the name Equus caballus (horse). Its description in RNAcentral is "lncRNA (ENSECAG00000037976.3)". Lineage: Eukaryota; Metazoa; Chordata; Mammalia; Perissodactyla; Equidae. The record is from RNAcentral.
ACAGGGAACAGAUCAGAAAGCAGCAGAAGGGACCAAAUGCAGAAUGUCUGCCCAACUCCAGCCUCUGUCUGUACCAUGUGUGAAUAGGCUACUGGUGGAGACUUAGGCAGAUGUUUCCAGCAGGAGUCAUGCAGCACGUUUGUGGGGUCAGAUGUGAAAGCUGGACAAUGAAGAAGACUGCCAGGAGAAAAAUGGAUUCAAUUGAAAUAUGGUGUUGGAAGAGACCCCUACGGAUACCCUGGACUUCCAGAAAGAUGGACAGGUGGGUCCUGGAGUAAAGUAAGCCUGAACUAUCACUGGAGACAAAAAGGAUAAAAGUGAGCCUGUCCUACUUUGGGCACAUCGUGAGAAGGCGGGAUUCUUUGGAAAACACAAUAAUGCUGGAAAAGUAGAAGGCAGCACGAAAAGAGGAAGACCAAAUCUGAGAUGGAUUGACUCUAUAAAGGAAGCCAUAGCCCUGCGUCUACAGGAGCUGAGCAGGGCUGUUGAGGACAGGACAUUGUGGACGUCACUCACUCAUAGGGUUGCCAGGAGUUGGAGCCUACUUGAUGGCACGUAACAACGAUAUCAAUGUUUAUUGGAAAAUAAUACAGUAUCAAUGUCAGUUGUCUUAUUUUGAUAAUUGUCCUGUGGGUAUGUAUAAGAAUAUCCUUAAUUUAGAAAACACGCAUUGAAGUAUUAUGGAGUAAAGAGCACGAUGUCUGCAACUUACUCUCAAACAGUUCAGAAAAUGUGUGUGUGUGUGUGUAUGUGGGGAGAGGGAGAAAGAAUGAAUAACAAAUCAAAUAUAUUAAAAUGCUAAUGCUUCUGGAAUAUGGGUGAAGCAUACACCAGUAUUAUUUGUACUAUAUUUAUG